Molecule: ribosomal RNA, 477 nt
Filed under: uncultured Planctomycetales bacterium
Lineage: Bacteria; Pseudomonadati; Planctomycetota; Planctomycetia; Planctomycetales
Description: bacterial SSU rRNA
Rfam family: Bacterial small subunit ribosomal RNA
Source: RNAcentral
UUCGCAAUGCCCGAAAGGGUGACGAGGCGACGCCGCGUGGGUGAGGAAGGCCUUCGGGUUGUAAAGCCCUGUCAGGAGUUAAGAAAUGUAGACUCGCUAAUAUCGAGUCUAUUUGACAAAGGCUCCAAAGGAAGCCACGGCUAACUCUGUGCCAGCAGCCGCGGUAAUACAGAGGUGGCAAGCGUUGUUCGGAAUUAUUGGGCGUAAAGAGCACGUAGGUGGAUUUGUAAGUCAGACGUGAAAGCCUUCUGUUCAACGGAAGGAUUGCAUCUGAAACUACAAACCUUGAGUGUAGGAGGGGAGAAUGGAACUUCUGGUGGAGCGGUGAAAUGCGUAGAUAUCAGAAGGAACGCCGGCGGCGAAAGCGAUUCUCUGGCUUAUUACUGACACUCAGUGCGUGAAAGCUAGGGGAGCAAACGGGAUUAGAUACCCCGGUAGUCCUAGCCGUAAACGAUGGGCACUAAGUAGAGGGGUUUU